This 253-nucleotide ribosomal RNA is filed under the name uncultured bacterium. RNAcentral describes it as "partial 16S ribosomal RNA". It matches the Rfam family "Bacterial small subunit ribosomal RNA", at positions 524 to 776 of the family's 1533-position model. The record is from RNAcentral.
UACGUAGGAUGCAAGCGUUGUCCGGAAUUAUUGGGCGUAAAGAGCGCGCAGGCGGUCUAUCAAGUCAGAUGUGAAAUAUCCAGGCUUAACCUGGAGGGGUCAUUUGAAACUGGUAGACUAGAGUACAGCAGAGGAUAGUGGAAUUCCCGGUGUAGUGGUGAAAUGCGUAGAUAUCGGGAGGAACACCAGUGGCGAAGGCGGGUCUCUGGGCAGUAACUGACGCUGAGGAGCGAAAGCGUGGGGAGCGAACAGG